UAGGGAAUAUUGGACAAUGGGCGAAAGCCUGAUCCAGCAAUGCCGCGUGAGUGAGGAAGGCCUUAGGGUUGUAAAGCUCUUUCGGCGGGGACGAUGAUGACGGUACCCGCAGAAGAAGCCCCGGCUAACUUCGUGCCAGCAGCCGCGGUAAUACGAAGGGGGCGAGCGUUGUUCGGAAUUACUGGGCGUAAAGGGCGCGUAGGCGGCCAUCUUUGUCAGGCGUGAAAGCCCUGGGCUCAACCCAGGAAUUGCGCUUGGGACGGGAUGGCUUGAGUUCGGGAGAGGAGAGUGGAAUUCCCAGUGUAGAGGUGAAAUUCGUAGAUAUUGGGAAGAACACCGGUGGCGAAGGCGGCUCUCUGGACCGAUACUGACGCUGAGGCGCGAAAGCGUGGGGAGCAAACAGGAUUAGAUACCCCCGUAGUCC
This 424-nucleotide ribosomal RNA is filed under the name uncultured bacterium. RNAcentral's name for it is "bacterial SSU rRNA". It matches the Rfam family "Bacterial small subunit ribosomal RNA", at positions 355 to 796 of the family's 1533-position model. The record is from RNAcentral.